UUAUCAUUAUGUCUCAUUUUCAGAAACAACUCCCCUUCUCUCACAGUUAUGAAGCAAAAAACUCUGUUAGAGCAUAAGCAUUUUCCUCCUCCAAACUUAUUGAACGUUCUUCCUCCAUCUUCGUAAGCUGUAGUUGUGCCGUUGUGCUCUUCUUUUGAGAUCUCUUGUUGGGUUAGCAUUUUUCAAGGGGAUGCUGAUGCAAAUGAGCAUGAUGGCUACACUUGGAAUCAACAAAGAGUUGCAUUACCUAAACAAAGAAGACCUUUUAUUGCGUUGGCUUUUGGUCGAGCAACGUAACACAAAAUCUGGGCUAGAUGUUCUUGAGAAUGAAGGCAGGUGGGAGCUAAGCAAAUUUUCUCAAAUCAGUAAAGAUGAUGAAGAGGAUGAAGAUGAUGAGGAGUACUAAAUGGAGGAAGAUGAGACAAAGUAAACCAAAAGACAACCGAGUAUUUUGUUAGCUUCCAUAAAAUCAGUUUGCAUUGUAUUUUCAGUGCCAAACAUGUGCUUCCUUACAGAUUUUGUGUUAGA
Long non-coding RNA from Vigna unguiculata (cowpea), 528 nucleotides. RefSeq lists it as uncharacterized. The record is from RefSeq and is a predicted model, not a curated record. NCBI's taxonomy places the organism in Eukaryota, Viridiplantae, Streptophyta, Magnoliopsida, Fabales, Fabaceae.